GUGGGGAAUAUUGGACAAUGGGGGGAACCCUGAUCCAGCCAUGCCGCGUGUGUGAAGAAGGCCUUUUGGUUGUAAAGCACUUUAAGCGAGGAGGAGGCUACCGAGAUUAAUACUCUUGGAUAGUGGACGUUACUCGCAGAAUAAGCACCGGCUAACUCUGUGCCAGCAGCCGCGGUAAUACAGAGGGUGCAAGCGUUAAUCGGAUUUACUGGGCGUAAAGCGCGCGUAGGUGGCCAAUUAAGUCAAAUGUGAAAUCCCCGAGCUUAACUUGGGAAGUGCAGUCGAUACUGGUUGGCUAGAGUAUGGGAGAGGAUGGUAGAAUUCCAGGUGUAGCGGUGAAAUGCGUAGAGAUCUGGAGGAAUACCGAUGGCGAAGGCAGCCAUCUGGCCUAAUACUGACACUGAGGUGCGAAAGCAUGGGGAGCAAACAGGAUUAGAAACCCGAGUAGUCC
RNAcentral lists this ribosomal RNA (451 nucleotides) under uncultured bacterium. Its description in RNAcentral is "bacterial SSU rRNA". It matches the Rfam family "Bacterial small subunit ribosomal RNA", at positions 354 to 796 of the family's 1533-position model. The record is from RNAcentral.